CCGUAUUUGUCCUACCAACCGAACGUCACUUCGGGCAUGUUCGGUAGUCCUAAAAAUUCCUGUUUCAGGAAUUUUGUCCUGGCUAACGUACUAAAUCUGUCAACGUCGCAUACUUUUCAAUCUUGUUUUGUUUUGGAAUUUGACAAGAUUAACCUCAGAAAAAGUUUAAAAUUAUAAUUUUUAUGAACAUUGACGAAUAAUGUUAUGAAUAAUGUAAUAGAACCUGAUAUAAAAUAAUCCGGAAAUAUUUACAAAUAAAGCAUAAACAAAAUGAAAGUGAUAGCAACACGAUUACCUUUGAUAAUGUGUUUUUUAUAUAAGAAUACGUCUACAUGGGUUGAAAUCUCAGAAAAUAUUAAGCUAUCCACAAAUUCCUGAAAAUAAAUUAGCCGUGAUUUGCGGAAAAAAUGUUCUUAAUUAUUUUUCCCACAUGAUGUCCUUUCAGGUUCCAGGAAACAGCACGGGCAUGUAUUAGGCAUAAUAAGUAAUUAUAAAAAUAUGAGCAAAAAUGAGAUGGUUUAAAAGAGUGAAAAUUUUAAGGUUAAGAAAUCUGAAACUCAAAGGAAAACUGAUUAAAAACUGAUAAAUAAGUACCGUUAAACUGGAAAAGCAAACUACUAUACGCAUAAUACAAAAGACAAUUUAUCAUCUUUAAAACCAUAAGGCAUAUGAUAUAUGAGAUAGGUAGCACAAGGACAUAUCGGCAAGCCUUAGGUUGGUGUUUACGCGUGUAGGUGUGAAUCGCUAUGGUGAUCUGGUCGGAGAUAGAAAAAUAUAAAAUAUUUAUUACAUAACCACACUUAAUCUGAUGAUUUCCUAUGCAUUCAAUACCAAGUUCAAUACAUCUGAUUGUAAUAAGCAUAUUGGCCAUACUCUUCAUAUACAU
Molecule: long non-coding RNA, 886 nt
Organism: Sitophilus oryzae (rice weevil)
Lineage: Eukaryota; Metazoa; Arthropoda; Insecta; Coleoptera; Curculionidae
Exons: 5
Source: RefSeq, a predicted model, not a curated record